Ophidiomyces ophidiicola is the source of this 81-nucleotide non-coding RNA. NCBI's taxonomy places the organism in Eukaryota, Fungi, Ascomycota, Eurotiomycetes, Onygenales, Onygenaceae. The record is from the annotation of a RefSeq genome assembly.
GGCAAGGUGGCCGAGUGGUUAUGGCGCAUGGCUCAGGUCCAUGUCUCGAAAGGGGCGUGGGUUCGAAUCCCACCCUUGUCA